This 495-nucleotide ribosomal RNA is filed under the name uncultured bacterium. RNAcentral's name for it is "partial 16S ribosomal RNA". It matches the Rfam family "Bacterial small subunit ribosomal RNA", at positions 28 to 507 of the family's 1533-position model. The record is from RNAcentral.
GAUGAACGCUGGCGGCGUGCCUAAUACAUGCGAGUAGAACGCUGAAGGAGGAGCUUGCUCUUCUGGAUGAGUUGCGAACGGGUGAGUAACGCGUAGGUAACCUGCCUGGUAGUGGGGGAUAACUAUUGGAAACGAUAGCUAAUACCGCAUGACAACAGUUAUUGCAUGAUAACUGUUUAAAAGGGGCAACUGCUCCACUACCAGAUGGACCUGCGUUGUAUUAGCUAGUUGGUGAGGUAACGGCUCACCAAGGCGACGAUACAUAGCCGACCUGAGAGGGUGAUCGGCCACACUGGGACUGAGACACGGCCCAGACUCCUACGGGAGGCAGCAGUAGGGAAUCUUCGGCAAUGGACGGAAGUCUGACCGAGCAACGCCGCGUGAGUGAAGAAGGUUUUCGGAUCGUAAAGCUCUGUUGUAAGAGAAGAACGAGUGUGAGAGUGGAAAGUUCACACUGUGACGGUAUCUUACCAGAAAGGGACGGCUAACUACGUG